GAUGAACGCUGGCGGCGUGCCUAACACAUGCAAGUCGAGCGAACGGACGAGAAGCUUGCUUCUCUGAUGUUAGCGGCGGACGGGUGAGUAAUACGUGGAUAACCUACCUAUAAGACUGGGAUAACUUCGGGAAACCGGAGCUAAUACCGGAUAAUAUUUUGAACCGCAUGGUUCAAAAGUGAAAGACGGUCUUGCUGUCACUUAUAGAUGGAUCCGCGCUGCAUUAGCUAGUUGGUAAGGUAACGGCUUACCAAGGCAACGAUGCAUAGCCGACCUGAGAGGAUGAUCGGCCACACUGGAACUGAGACACGGUCCAGACUCCUACGGGAGGCAGCAGUAGGGAAUCUUCCGCAAUGGGCGAAAGCCUGACGGAGCAACGCCGCGUGAGUGAUGAAGGUCUUCGGAUCGUAAAACUCUGUUAUUAGGGAAGAACAUAUGUGUAAGAAACUGUGCACAUCUUGACGGUACCUAAUCAGAAAGCCACGGCUAACUACGUG
Molecule: ribosomal RNA, 497 nt
Filed under: uncultured bacterium
Lineage: Bacteria
Description: partial 16S ribosomal RNA
Rfam family: Bacterial small subunit ribosomal RNA
Source: RNAcentral